AGGGAAAAAUCUUACAGUUGGAUUCUGCCGGGCAAGUCACAGAAAAAUCCCAAGACCAGAAAGGGAACUCUAAAAUGGAAGAGGGAACUUAUACAAUAGAAUAACUUGAGAAGAAAGGUGGAUGGCAUCCUAUCUUGGACCUCAGAAAACUAAACAAGGUCAUUCAUUAUUUCUGGUUCUGAAUGGUCAACCAUGCUUCUAUAAUCCCCUCCCACAUCCCAUGGAUUGGUUUGCAGCCCUCAAUUUACAGGCUUCAGCAAAAAUGAUCAACACUUCCAUGAAAAUGAAGGUUAGAAUAUCACCACCACAGUCUCGUAUUGCAAGAGCAAUGUAUUAAAUAUAGCUUUAACACUGAGAAGUACAAAAAAUAUGUAUCACAAAAAUACCUAAAAUCAGCUAUGUCAUAAUUUUCUUCCCAAAUAUAAUCACACACAUGAUGAUUUCAUUUAAAAAUAAUUAACAUAUUACCAUUUUAAAAACUAUGCUUACAAAUGAUUUUCCAAAUAUUUGCUAAUAAAUUUUCCUUUAGUCAAAGUAUUAAUCACCUUAACAUGGAACAUGAAAUCUUAAGAAUGCAGAAUUUGUGAACUAAUUAAAUUAUAUUGUCAAAAUAAUUUGUAAAAAGUUUAAUAUAAACCUGAAAUAGCUUUUUGAAAAGCAUAUCACUUGUAAAAGUUAAGUAAAAUUCAAUGGGCUGUGUAAAGUUGGUAAUAGCAAUAUCUCAUAAUACUAUAAAUAGACCAAUAUGCCUGUAGCAUCUCAGGCCAAAUAAUUCCAUACUUGGUGUGACAGAAGUAAGUGGAGCUGCUCUGUAAUAAUUUAUGAAUGUGACCUGGUUAUUGGGAUGGUUUACUGUAUGAAAACGUUGGUUUAGUUAAAUAGGAGGGUUGUAAGAAACAACCAGAAAGCCAAAACAAUGACUCAAGACACCUCUCAGCAAACAGUUAAGUUGGUGAUGGGAUAAUGGAAGAAACGUUGGCUUUGAGGAUCUGGUUUGAGUUCCUAUGGAACUUUCUGAACUGGUUUUGAGCAGCUGGGUUGAGGCCUGGUUACUGUCAGGAACAAAGAAAGUCAGGCUGGGGAAGUGAUAGUUUGAGUGCUGUUUGGGGAAACCAGACUGACCCAGGCACCUGCUGGGAUGUCUGCAGUUGUUUGACUUGCUUAGGCCACAAUCGCAAGAAGAUGUGGCAAGAUGUGCGUACACUAUUUCUUGUUGUAAAAUACUUUUUCUCUAAAGGCUCUGUUCCUACUGUUAAAAUUAAACAAUAGUU
Molecule: long non-coding RNA, 1271 nt
Organism: Dermochelys coriacea (leatherback sea turtle)
Lineage: Eukaryota; Metazoa; Chordata; Testudines; Dermochelyidae
Exons: 3
Source: RefSeq, a predicted model, not a curated record